UCCGCUAUUUAUGUUGGUGUGAUAUGACUUUAUUUUAUAUUUUUUCCUUUAACAUCUUGAAGUUUUCGAAAGUGCAGCAUGUUACUGCCCAACUUGCUUUGUUUUACUCGUGUUUGUGUCUCCAUUUCGCAUAGAACUCUAGUCAAAGAAAUGCCUAAUUUCACUGUUUAAGCGGAAGCUCCUUAGCAUGCUUCUUUUGACCUUGUCUUAUUUCGAUCUUUUGUGAAGUUCGGUAUUGGUGUUUGCUCGAAUAUAUAGUCAAUCUUGCUUUAACUUAAAUUCGUUACCAUGAUUAGCCGAAUGGGUCACUUUUAAAUUUACAUGCUAUAACCUUGUUUUAAAAUUUCGGU
Molecule: long non-coding RNA, 350 nt
Filed under: Solanum tuberosum (potato)
Lineage: Eukaryota; Viridiplantae; Streptophyta; Magnoliopsida; Solanales; Solanaceae
Description: long non-coding RNA (STUB_LNC000615)
Source: RNAcentral